GAGUUUGAUCCUGGCUCAGGAUGAACGCUGGCGGCGUGCCUAAUACAUGCAAGUCGAGCGAACAGAUAAGGAGCUUGCUCCUUUGACGUUAGCGGCGGACGGGUGAGUAACACGUGGGUAACCUACCUAUAAGACUGGAAUAACUCCGGGAAACCGGGGCUAAUGCCGGAUAAUAUUUAGAACCGCAUGGUUCUAAAGUGAAAGAUGGUUUUGCUAUCACUUAUAGAUGGACCCGCGCCGUAUUAGCUAGUUGGUGGGGUAAUGGCUUACCAAGGCAACGAUACGUAGCCGACCUGAGAGGGUGAUCGGCCACACUGGAACUGAGACACGGUCCAGACUCCUACGGGAGGCAGCAGUAGGGAAUCUUCCGCAAUGGGCGAAAGCCUGACGGAGCAACGCCGCGUGAGUGAUGAAGGUCUUCGGAUCGUAAAACUCUGUUAUUAGGGAAGAACAAAUGUGUAAGUAACUGUGCACGUCUUGACGGUACCUAAUCAGAAAGCCACGGCUAACUACGUGCCAGCAGCCGC
This 527-nucleotide ribosomal RNA is filed under the name uncultured bacterium. Its description in RNAcentral is "bacterial SSU rRNA". It matches the Rfam family "Bacterial small subunit ribosomal RNA", at positions 9 to 518 of the family's 1533-position model. The record is from RNAcentral.